RNAcentral lists this long non-coding RNA (740 nucleotides) under Marmota monax (woodchuck). Lineage: Eukaryota; Metazoa; Chordata; Mammalia; Rodentia; Sciuridae. The record is from RNAcentral.
AUUUAUUUAUUUAUUUAUUUAUUUAUUUUAUUCCUUCCUUUUCAACAAUACUGUGCUUUGUUUUUUUCCCAUAUUUUUUAUUGAGAAAAUUUUUAUUUUAUUGGGAAAUUUAUUUAUAGUUGGACAUAAUGGUGGUAUUUGUUGUUACGUAUUCAUACAUAAUAGAACAGUAUAAUUUAGCUAUUACCAUCCCCCAGUUCUUCUCUUUCUUCUUCUCCUCCCUUCCCCAUCCCUUUCCUCUAUUCUACUGAUCUCCCUUCAAGUUUCAUGAGACCCCACGACACACACACCUUUCUUUUGCUUUUUCUUUUCUAGCUUCCACAUAUGAGAAAACAUACAACCCUUGACCUUCUGAGUUUGGUUUGUUUUGCUCAAUAUAUGUUCUCAAGUUCCAUCUUCUUUCCUGAAAAUGACACAAUUUCAUUUUUCUUUAUGUCAUGUCUUUCUUUCUUACAGUACUUUAUGGCUGGCAAACCUCUUUCAGACAAAAUUUGCUUUGAGUCUUAAUCUCCAGGGGCAACACUGGACACAAAGAGAAAGCAAAUGGAAAGACAGGGAAAAUGUCAAAGAGCCAAACAAAGACCAAAGCAGAUGCUUGGAUCCCUGAACACCUGACUAUUCCUGAAGCGUUUCCCCACUAGGCCUCUUGCAUGGCAGUACUUUUGACCCAGGUGCUGAGGCUGUGGACACGAAAUAGGUAGGCGCAGAUGCACCCAGAAGACUCUCAAGACAGUACUUUG